Long non-coding RNA from Odocoileus virginianus texanus, 740 nucleotides. RefSeq lists it as uncharacterized. NCBI's taxonomy places the organism in Eukaryota, Metazoa, Chordata, Mammalia, Artiodactyla, Cervidae. The record is from RefSeq and is a predicted model, not a curated record.
UUGAGCUACUAAUCUUUCAGUAGAUUCUCUCAGUCUUCCAAAUUCUAUGAACGAUGCCCUAUCUCUAUUACACAUGAACAAACCCAUAUCCAAGCAGUAGAAGUUGAUCCACACUCCAGUGACUUAAAAGGUUUGACUUGUGGGCACACCAAAAAUGUGGCCAGCUGGGAACAAAAGCAACAUACAGGUAGAAACCACUUUUUCUGAUGACGGACACAUGUUGAUCCUUUAUAUUGGAAGGGGACCACCUAUUACUUUCUGUCCAUGAGAACUCAGAUGAGAGUGUACAGAGUCAGAGAAUCAGAUAAGUGAUGGAAAUGGAGGGUCCAUGUGGAGUUCUCCUGACUUCUACUCGAGUGACUGCUCAACCUGCAUUCUCCUGGAGCCUCAAGCCUGCUUAGGAACCCCUGGCAAGAGCAACUGGACAGAAGUGCAGCUUCCCAAGAGGGGAGAGACCAGGGUCACAGAAAACGACGCACAAGAAAAUCGGUGUAGUGCUGAGCACAGAGUAAGGGCUCAGCGUACACGAAUGCCUCUGAGGAUGCCCACAUGGCCCAUUUCUGUGCUCGAGGUGUGACUGGGGAAGGGGAAAUAAGGCCAACAGGUGGGGAAGGGUUUCUUCUCCUGAGCCCGUCAUUGCUGGUGACACAUCACAGUCCCUACCAAACCCCAUGGAUCACGUAAAAUGUCAUUGGAAACCUUGUAACUCACCAUUAAAACUGCUGCAUGUAGGAAAACAA